GACGAACGCUGGCGGCGCGCUUAACACAUGCAAGUCGAACGGAAAGGCCUGCUUUCCCUUGUGGAUUGCGGGUACUCGAGUGGCGAACGGGUGAGUAACACGUGAGUGAUCUGCCCCCAACUUGGGUAUAAGCCUGGGAAACUGGGUCUAAUUCCCGAUAGGACUGCAGGGUGGUGCCUGUGGUGGAAAACGAUUUUCUAGUGGUUGGGGAUGAGCUCGCGGCCUAUCAGCUUGUUGGUGGGGUAAUGGCCUACCAAGGCGGCGACGGGUAGCCGGCCUGAGAGGGUGGACGGCCACAUUGGGAAUGAGAUACGGCCCAGACUCCUACGGGAGGCAGCAGUGGGGAAUAUUACACAAUGGGCGGAAGCCUGAUGCAGCGACGCCGCGUGGGGGAUGACGGCCUUCGGGUUGUAAACUCCUUUCGACCGCGAGGAAGCCACCUGGUUGGAAGGGUGGUGACGGUAGUGGUAGAAGAAGCACCGGCUAACUACGUG
Molecule: ribosomal RNA, 494 nt
Filed under: uncultured bacterium
Lineage: Bacteria
Description: partial 16S ribosomal RNA
Rfam family: Bacterial small subunit ribosomal RNA
Source: RNAcentral